RNAcentral lists this long non-coding RNA (1617 nucleotides) under Homo sapiens (human). RNAcentral's name for it is "non-protein coding AATBC:6". Lineage: Eukaryota; Metazoa; Chordata; Mammalia; Primates; Hominidae. The record is from RNAcentral.
CUGGCCCGGCCCAUUGUCACUGGAAUUCAUGCCAUGCAGACUUCUACAUCAAAGGGAAACAAGGUCAGGAGGGCCGAGGGGUCCACGGCACUCCGCACCCACGGGGCCAGGCUGGCACAACGCCCCAACGCUGCAAUCCUGGGAAGAGUCACACGCGCCCUCCCGGGACCCACGUGACCAUCAAGGGAGUGUGGAGGACACAUCCCUCGGGGGUGACGCCCCUGCAGAUGGAGUUUCCCCAUCUGUGCCACCCUUGCAAGGCCUGGGAAAGGCUGCGGGGCCAGGCGGCACCGGGCAAGCUGAGUGCCAGGUGGUGGUUGCAACACACCGGGCAAAUCUGAAACCAUGGGACGGACGAGCUGCACCCCUGGGAAAGAGAACAGAGGAAGGCCGGUUAUCAACGUCCUCCUGUGCCUCAGUUUCCAGAAACAAGCCAGACUCAGUGCCUCAGGGAGACCCCGUGUGGCCUCCGGAGAGCACGGGACCCGCCCUUUGUGCAGGCAGGCGAGUGGAACCACAGGUGCUUCCCGUCCUGGUCACAAAGUCAGAGUGGCUGGGCCAAGUGUCCUGAGAAGAGUCACCUCCUGGGAUCCCAUCAGCCUGGCCAUAGCAGAACACCCAGACAGGGGCCCAUCCCCGAGGCUCAACUCAACGCAUGCAGCCACUGUAGAAAAGUCUGGAAAGUAGUUCUUCAACCGACUAGACAUGGUGAGCCCAAAACCCAGCCAUGACACUCCUAGGCAUCUGCCCCAGAGGAAUGAAAGCAUCCAUCCCCUGCAAACUCAUCCUUACACAGCAGCGUGACUCAAGACGGCCAAAGGCGGAAACACCCCAAACGUCCAUCAGUGGACAAACGGGCAGAUGCAAUGCACUGUCUGUACCGUGGGAUGUCACUCAGCCAUAUGAAGGAAAGACUCCAGUGUGGAUGAGCCCUGGAACCACGGUGCUGCGUGAUCCCGUAACACAUGGCCAGAACAGACACGGCCCGGAACCUGAGGCCGGGAGGAUGCGUGCAGGUGGCGGGGAGACAGAGGGGCGAUGGCCCAGUUUCUUUUGGGCUGAAAAUGGUCUAAAGUUGACUGUGGUGAUGGCUGUACAACUUUGAAUAUGCUGAAAACUCGAAUUACACACUUCAGUUGGGCGAACUGUACUCCAUGUGAAUUACCUCUCGAUGGUUCUCUCCUGGGCUCAGGCGCUUCUCCCACCUUGGCCUCCUGAGUAGCUGGAACUACCAUUCAUGUGCGGAAAUAAAACAACUCGGUCUCAAAAAAAACUCAACUCAAAACUCAGUCUCAAAAAUAAAAAAAUAAAAAAGUAAAAGAGGCUACCAAUAGGAGAGGAAUUCAGUCAUUCAUGUCAUAAGCACAAUGCGGUUAUUUAAAACAAUUCUGAAUAUGGGGAAACGUGCACCCAGCAGGGCCUGGAAACAGCCAGAGCGUGACAGUGCCGGCGCAGCCAUGAAAAACCCCUCCCUGUGAACACACAUGUGAAAGAAGAUGCAAAGUCACUGUGGCUUCCAGUUUCACAACUGCAAUUCGGCAUCUCUAAUUUGCUUUUUUCCAGAAACUUCUGUUAGCAUGGUUGUUUCCUUAGCUUUUGACCAAAGAAACUUCAAAA